CCUACGGGAGGCAGCAGUAGGGAAUAUUGCUCAAUGGGGGAAACCCUGAAGCAGCAACGCCGCGUGGAGGAUGAAGGUUUUAGGAUUGUAAACUCCUUUUGUGAGAGAAGAUAAUGACGGUAUCUCACGAAUAAGCACCGGAUAACUCCGUGCCAGCAGCCGCGGUAAUACGGAGGGUGCAAGCGUUACUCGGAAUCACUGGGCGUAAAGAGUGCGCAGGCGGGUUUGUAAGUCAGAUGUGAAAUGCUGUAGCUUAACUAGAGAACUGCAUUUGAAACUAUGAGUCUAGAGUGUGGGAGCGGUAGGUGGAAUGUAUGGUGUAGGGGUAAAAUCCGUAGAGAUCA
Molecule: ribosomal RNA, 344 nt
Filed under: uncultured bacterium
Lineage: Bacteria
Description: partial 16S ribosomal RNA
Rfam family: Bacterial small subunit ribosomal RNA
Source: RNAcentral